UACGUAGGGGGCAAGCGUUGUCCGGAAUCAUUGGGCGUAAAGAGCGUGUAGGCGGCCCGAUAAGUCCGCUGUGAAAGUCCAGGGCUCAACCCUGGGAUGCCGGUGGAUACUGUCGGGCUCGAGUCCGGAAGAGGAGUGUGGAAUUCCUGGUGUAGCGGUGAAAUGCGCAGAUAUCAGGAGGAACACCAACGGCGAAGGCAGCUUUCUGGACAGUAACUGACUCUGAGGCACGAAGGCUAGGGGAGCGAACGGG
This 253-nucleotide ribosomal RNA is filed under the name uncultured bacterium. RNAcentral describes it as "partial 16S ribosomal RNA". It matches the Rfam family "Bacterial small subunit ribosomal RNA", at positions 524 to 776 of the family's 1533-position model. The record is from RNAcentral.